AGUUAAUGAACUUGUAAAGUAAAUAUUUUGAAAAUAUUAUAAAGAAAUUAAAAUUUUCUAUUAACUU
Molecule: transfer RNA, 67 nt
Filed under: Longitarsus exsoletus
Lineage: Eukaryota; Metazoa; Arthropoda; Insecta; Coleoptera; Chrysomelidae
Description: tRNA-Ser
Source: RNAcentral